This 1391-nucleotide long non-coding RNA is filed under the name Homo sapiens (human). RNAcentral describes it as "HSALNT0038658". Lineage: Eukaryota; Metazoa; Chordata; Mammalia; Primates; Hominidae. The record is from RNAcentral.
GCAGGCUGCCUCCAGUGAGACCAUGACUUCUGGGUUCCACACCCAGCCCUCCUCCCCCACCCACCUAUUUGUCUCUGGAGCCUUUUCAACAAAGGAACCUCUGGGAAGUCUUGACCAGGUGAGUGGCUGGGGCUCCAGAAAACUUAAGUAACUGACCCAGAGUCACACCGCCAGUAAGCCCCAGGCCCAGGAUUAGAACUCAGAUCGGCCUGACCGCACAGCCUGCGCCUCCAUGACACCUGCCUCCCAUCAUUACUGCCCUGUAGGAGAGAGGAGUGAGACACCAUGGAAAUGAGCACAGCACCUCUGGUGGGAAGUGCUAUGUAUGUGGUAGGUAAGAGUCACCUGGAAGGAAUGCUUACAGGAAACCAGGAGAGAGGCUGCCCUGGCAGCCAGAUGAUGCCUGGUCUGGCCUGGGAAGGUAGCUAGAUUUGGAUGGGGGAGUGGAGAGAGGAAGCCUCUUUAAGUAAGGAGGGGGAUGACAGCCCAGGGUCUGGGAGUCCAGUUAAGUUCUGGGAACAGAGAGGAGACCCAACUGAAGACAAAGGAGGCUGUGGAGACAGGGGAAGACCUCUGUUGAGAAGUCCUGACCCAGAGGGGAGGAGGCCAAACCUGGGUUCUGAGUGAAGUUGUCUACCCGCUGCAGCAAGUGCUCAUGGCUGACGCGGACCCAGGCACACAUACACACAACAUACACUCCUUCUUUGCUCCUCUCAUCACUGUGGCUGCCAGGGGCUGAGACUGUCUCCCAGCAGAUGGGAGCAGUGGCCCGAGGCUCUCCACUCAACCUGAGCCCUUCAUCUGAGGGGCCCAGCUGGGUCACCCCUCUCCCCCCAGGAGGGACUACACAGGACCAAGCCUGCUUUACCUUGGACCACCAGCAGCCCAGCGCCAGCGGUGAGCAGGAUCAGGUAGAUGACCACCACAGCUAGGGAGAAGUUCACCCCAUUUCUCCUCUUGGGCUUUGGAACUGAAACACAAGCCAGGAGGAAGGAGGCUGCUGCAGAGAACACAGCACAGGAAGUCCCUGCCUGCUCCAGGCCCUACUCCAUGUGAGCAGGGGGCACCCUGUGAGGUCAGCUGGGAAAGACACCAAAAGCUCAUGACUCCCAAAUCAUCCCCCAAUCCUCUUUCUUGCCACAAAGCAAAAAUUGCCACUGUUGGUCACUCAUCUGUGUGGCUGGGCAAAUAAACAUCUGUGCCAUAUAUCAUUUGCUGGAAAAGGUGUCAUAUCAACCUUGUUCACUGGUGAAGCCCCAGCAUGGUGCCUGGCCCUGUUGGGUUCUCAAUCUCUGUUUGUGGAAUAAAUUAUGAAUUAAUGUGUUUAAAUUUCAAAACUCUGGGAGGAGGAGGGUUGUUCCCAUUUGGCAAACAAGUAGUGAGACUUGGAG